Bactrocera dorsalis (oriental fruit fly) is the source of this 497-nucleotide long non-coding RNA. RefSeq lists it as uncharacterized. The transcript has 2 exons. The record is from RefSeq and is a predicted model, not a curated record. NCBI's taxonomy places the organism in Eukaryota, Metazoa, Arthropoda, Insecta, Diptera, Tephritidae.
GUAUCGGUUUUGGGUGCCACGGAAACUAAUUUUAUCGGUUUUGCUUUCAGAAACAAUGCAAGAAGAUAGUCGCACACGGAUUUGAAAUGUAAGUUAAGAAAUCAAGUUAUUUUAUUGUUGCGAAUUGAUUUAUCUUUAUUUCUAUAAGGGAAAACAAAUACAAAACACAAAAUGUCUUAAUCAUUGAGUUUUUGAACAAAACAUCCGGGUAUGUAAAGAUAAUAGAUUUACAAAACGUAAUUUAACACCCAAAUGCGUCUUUAUUCAUUCGAUAAAUGUUUUCUCUUAAAAUCUUCCUUUAAUUCGAAUUUUAUUAAAAACUUUAAAGGGAUUGCUUCCAAAUGUAUUCAUUUGCAAGUUUUGUCACAUUAGUAAACAGCUGAUUCGAAUAUUGGUUUUGCGUAUGUUCGAAAAGACAAAAAUUCAAUCAGAUUAUGUGACACCAUUUAAAAUCAGAAUUGGUUUGCAAUUCUGACAGCUAAGCAGUUCUGUCUUGG